CCGGGCGGUCCUGCCGCGAGCCAGGCCCCUUUCCCCCUCCCCGGCCACCCGCCGGUCGCCUCAUCGGCUCCGCCCUGGCCAGGCCAGGUCCCAGCAGCUGCCAGGCAGGAAGGCAGGGGAGGCUGGGCUGCAGAGCCCUGGCCGGAGCAGGGCUGGCCGCAGCUGUGAAGAUCUUCCGCCAGAUCCCCUUCCCCAGCACGGCUGAGACCAGAGCCGCCUGCAGCCCGUAUGAAAAACCAAAGAUCAACCAGGAGGCCGACCCUGACUCAUCCCAACCGCAGCUCCCCGACACAAGUUGCCAGCGGGUCAGGUAGGCCUUAGGCAUGAUGUUAACGCUCUCAGUGCUUCAAUCCUCCCUCGAGUGAGAGAAAGGAACAAGAUGCAAGCAUGUAAAGGAAAAGCAUGAAGACAUCAAGGUCAGCGAGGAAGGAGUUAACUCCCAGAUGGGAGAGUUCCCUUUUCCCCCACUCUGCAGUGUUGCCAUCAGACAGUCUGGGUUGUCUAGGACAGCUAAAAAGAAGGCUUGAACACGUACCCCUUCCAUGGGGCAGUUGGGAAUGGAAAAGCUUGUUGCUUAGGGGGGGCGGCAUGAGAACACCUGACCUCCAAUCAAGUUACAAGAAAGCAAUUUCCACCAAUAAACAGCAAAGAACUGAGUGACAGUCUUUGGGAGGAGCCCGGGUUGGCUGAUGCAACCCCCAGGGGUAUAAAAGACUGAGCAUCCAUCUUGAAGGUGAACCCGCCACAUGGUACCCACGAGGGCCAUUGCCAGUGCUGUGAAAUUUUCCUGAUGUAGUCCUUUUUUUGUAUUUUUGUUAAGGUUUAAUAGACCUUUUAAAUUUUCAAAAUGAACAGUUGUUUUUCACAGUGAGCCAGUGAGCUGUUGCAGCUUUGUGAGCAAGUGUGAGAGCAGAUGGGACAGAGCAUCGCUAUUGGACAUAAAAUGAGUACACAGAAGCUUGAGACAACACAGCAGAUGAGAGAAAAAAAAAAUACAAGAAAAAAUCUGAGCAGUAAGGAGAGAAAGAGAAGGAUUAAUAAUACUGGUAUUAAUACUUGAGAUACUUUUGUGAAGAAAGUGGGAGAGCCAAGGAAUCUAAAUCCAGUCCAGAGGAACUGCAGUGAAAGUCUUGCAGCAAUUUGCAAUUACUUAGUCUACCAGGAAUGUGACAAAUACAGCUGCUUUUUCCUGAACCUCACAGUCCUUCACUUGCAAUUGCUACAGGAGAGAGUUGAACACUUUACAAAAUUAGUUGGUUAAGAAUUGGAGUGACUGAAGCAGAGUGUUUCUUGGAAAGGAUGUGCACAUGUUCUUAGCAUAAGCAGAGGGGAGCCUGGUAUGAAGAAAACCACCAGAGACCUGGAUAUGAACUGAAUAAAAAAGUUGUGUAAGAAACUGCCUAGAAAGGAGACAAUUUUGAGCUUGCAGUGUUGGUAUGCUCAGGCUGUGGCCACAAAAGGACACUUGGAUGGACUGAAUCUCCUGUGAACAAGAAGUGCACAGCCUUGUGACCAGGGUUGUGCUGAGCAUCACCCAUUACCUUGUCCAAACCUCUCUUCCAAAUUAAAAGGACCUACAAAACCUCAAAUAUUGUCUCUCCCUCAAACUGUAAGAGGUGUAGCAUCCAUCAAUUUGCUAUGAAAGCCCAACAACACAUGGGUGUGAAAUGCAUCCUCUUUGGUAAGGUGGGAGGUGGAGAGACAGCAUUGUGAACUAUUCACUUAUUACCCAGAUGUGUCUGCAGAUAUACAGGUAAAUUUGGAGCUUUGGCACACCGAGGACAGUACCUAAAAUAUCUUUGAUCCAGUAGAACUGUGCUGCUUCCAGGAGGAAAGGCCCUAUGGGAGAUGGUCUGGGAGCUGAUUUCAGAAGGCUCUGCCCUGGAGGGCAGAGGGAAAUCCUCCCUUUUGUGAAAAGAUUUGUGUGCCUGGAGUCUGCUGAGGAAGUAGCAGAGCACAGAUUCAUCCCAAAGGUGGGAACAGAAGAGCUUUGGCCAAUCAGCUCCAGGUACUGUCAGUGGCAAAUCAAGAAAGGGAUUGCAGGUUGCACACUCAAGGAAAGAGGUUGGACAAAUGGGCCCAAGAACACAAGAAGCAGCCAACCUAAGACUAUAAGGUGGAAAAGUGACAUCUUCAGGCAACCAGUGACUGGGCAAAGCAAAAUAGUACCCAAAAUGUGGAUGUUCUCAGCUCAGUCAGAGAGAAAGAGAGGGGUUUUCUAGCCAGGCAAGAGCCUGGGAAGCAGUUGGGAAGGAAUGUAAAUAAUUCUCUAAUCUAUCUUGUUAUUCACAUUGUUUAUAGAUAUGCUCUGCUAUUGUGCGUCAUUCACUGCACACCAAUGGUGUGACAUGUUUUUACUCUAAGACCAAUGAGGUUGGUCUUCUCGAUGUUCUCUAUAUAUAGAGCAGUAUAUUUGAAAUAAAUCAAAGCUCAUUUUCUUUA
Molecule: long non-coding RNA, 2442 nt
Organism: Vidua chalybeata
Lineage: Eukaryota; Metazoa; Chordata; Aves; Passeriformes; Viduidae
Exons: 3
Source: RefSeq, a predicted model, not a curated record